Long non-coding RNA from Xenia sp. Carnegie-2017, 680 nucleotides. RefSeq lists it as uncharacterized. The record is from RefSeq and is a predicted model, not a curated record. NCBI's taxonomy places the organism in Eukaryota, Metazoa, Cnidaria, Anthozoa, Malacalcyonacea, Xeniidae. The transcript is spliced from 5 exons.
UUUAAGGAGAAAGCGCGCAAAACAAGGCAUGGCGGAUAAUAAAAAUGAUAUUUCGAGAAGGCUGACAGAAGCGAUAGGAAGGGUAAUCAUGCAAACUUUGGGUACAAGAGAGGCAUCAACGGCUGAUGACAUCCCCAGCCAAAACAGUUCUAACUCUAGUUCUAUUACAGUCCAGCCUGUCCAGUUUUAAUUCACAUGAUUAAAAGGAGCAAAACAUAAUUGUGAUAUACACAAUGUGUUCUCUGUAGCAAAGAAUUCCAGCUCAAGAUAGUAAUGACUGAAAAUAUACAAGAUUUACAUGAAAGAGGUGAAAAUGAUAUUAACAGAAGGGCUGGCCGACCUAGGAAGAGAGUUAACAAAGAAUAUUUGUUGAACUUUCUUCAACUGAAAGUUCCUAUAUGUGAUAUUGCAAGACAUCUUUCAGUGUCAAGAAUUACCAUUUAUAGAUAUAUGGAGGAAUAUGGAAUAUUGACUAAGUGAAACUGUUGAAGUAAAAGAUGGAGAAGAUGUGGUUACAGCUACGGCUGAUUCAACACUUGUUGCUGACAAGGGAUGUGUAUGAUUUAAAACAGUUUCACUAACAGCAUCACUCUUUUCAUCUUUAGGUUGGUUGCCAAUUCCUUUUACACUCUUUCAGUAAAAUAAAUAAUACAGUCAUUAAAAAGUUUUGAGAACAGUUA